This 457-nucleotide ribosomal RNA is filed under the name uncultured bacterium. RNAcentral describes it as "bacterial SSU rRNA". It matches the Rfam family "Bacterial small subunit ribosomal RNA", at positions 1 to 433 of the family's 1533-position model. The record is from RNAcentral.
UCAGCCGGUACUCGCGAAUGNCUCUAGAUUAGAGUUGAUCAUGGCUCAGANNUGAACGCUGGUCGGCCAAGCUUAACACAUGCAAGUCGAGCGGGGAAGGUUGCUUCGGUAACUGACCUAGCGGCGGACGGGUGAGUAAUGCUUAGGAAUCUGCCAUUUAGUGGGGGACAACAUUCCGAAAGGAAUGCUAAUACCGCAUACGUCCUACGGGAGAAAGCAGGGGAUCUUCGGACCUUGCGCUAAAUGAUGAGCCUAAGUCGGAUUAGCUAGUUGGUGGGGUAAAGGCCUACCAAGGCGACGAUCUGUAGCGGGUCUGAGAGGAUGAUCCGCCACACUGGGACUGAGACACGGCCCAGACUCCUACGGGAGGCAGCAGUGGGGAAUAUUGGACAAUGGGCGGAAGCCUGAUCCAGCCAUGCCGCGUNGUAGUGAAGAAGGCCUUAUGGUUGUAAAGCAC